UGGGUAAUUUGCCAUUAAGUUGGGGAUAACUUGCUGAAAGGCGAGCUAAUACCGAAUGUGGCCCGAUGGAGGCAUCUCUGUUUGGCCAAAGCUGGGGACCGCAGGGCCUGGCGCUUGAUGAUAAACCCGCGGCCUAUCAGCUAGUUAGUGAGGUAACGGCCCACCAAGGCUAUGACGGGUAGCUGGUCUGAGAGGACGACCAGCCACACUGGAACUGAGACACGGUCCAGACACCUACGGGUGGCAGCAGUCGAGAAUUUUUCACAAUGGGGGAAACCCUGAUGGAGCGACGCCGCGUGGGGGAUGAAUGGCUUCGGCCCGUAAACCCCUGUCAUUUGUGAACAAACGGUUCCGUUGAACAAACGGAACCCUGAUUGUAACGGAAGAGGAAGGGACGGCUAACUCUGUGCCAGCAGCCGCGGUAAUACAGAGGUCCCAAGCGUUGUUCGGAUUCACUGGGCGUAAAGGGUGCGUAGGUGGUCGGGUAAGUCUGAUGUGAAAUCUCGGAGCUCAACUCCGAAACUGCAUUGGAUACUAUCCGGCUGGAGGG
Molecule: ribosomal RNA, 550 nt
Filed under: uncultured bacterium
Lineage: Bacteria
Description: bacterial SSU rRNA
Rfam family: Bacterial small subunit ribosomal RNA
Source: RNAcentral